ACAGGCUGUACUGGAUCAUUGACCAAUUCUAGCAAAACUGGCCCUCGACCCUCUGCAUACUGAGCCAAUCCUGUCUUCUGCGUUUUACGACCCACAGAGAUCUCCAUUUGUGAUUCUCGUACUCACCCUUGUGAUCAUGGUUUCCCAACUUUUUUCAUCUCUUGCUGCCCCUGCUUUUGCUGCUUUGCUGUUCCUUUACUUCUUGUAUAGAAGAUCAAGGGAGAUCAAUGCAGCUGCAAAUGAUGGAACAGCAAGAGGCGAUUCUGGCACUCACACUCCAACAGAAGUACCUGAAAUAGAUACUUCGUCACAAUAUGACCAUGAAGUAUUCUUGAGCUUCAAUGGAAAGGAUACUCGAGAAACUUUUACUGACCACCUUUACACUAGACUUACAGAGGCGGGAAUCUGCACAUUUAAGGACGACAAAAGUCUCCGGAUUGGGGGAGAGUUUGCACCACAACUUCUCCAAGCAAUUAAGCAGUCGCAGAUCUUAAUACCUAUCUUCUCGAAAAAUUAUGCCUCUAGUCCCUGGUGUCUCGAGGAGUUAGCCGAAAUGGUCAAGUGUAAGAAAACAGGGGGACAAAAGAUCAUGCCCAUUUUUUACGACGUGGCACCUGCAGAGGUUAGGCACCAAACUGGGGGCUAUGGGGAUGCCUUUCUUUCAUAUGAAAACAAGAAGCGAUAUGAUGAAGAGACUAUGCGUGAGUGGAAGACUGCUCUCAAAGAAGUAUCAUUUCUAAAUGGAUGCGACCUGCAAAGCAUGCCCAACAGGCGAGAAGGUGAGUUCGUGAAAGCAUUCACGCAGAAGGUUUUCAAUGAGUUGAAAAAGGCUUCUCUUGUAGUAUCAGACUACUUAGUCAGUGUCGACAACCAUGUACAUGCAAUCAUGAAAAUGAUAGGUGCUAGGACAAGUGAAACACGGAUUGUAGGAAUCCACGGGAUGGGUGGCAUCGAAAAGACGACUACGGCCAAAAUCGUCUAUAAUCAGCUUUCGAAAGAUUUCAGUGACCAUUGCUUUCUUUCCAACAUCCGUGAAAUGUCAAAAACCAAGGGCAUUGAAUUCUUGCAGAAUCAGCUCAUCUCCGACAUCCUCAAAACGAAAGAUACAAAUAUAAGAAACUCUGAUGAUGGGAUUGAGAUCAUCAAAGAUAGGUUGUCCAAUAAAAGAGUCCUCCUGCUUCUCGAUGAUGUGGAAGACGAGAAUCAUAUUGAUGCACUUGUGUGUAAUCGUGAUUGCUUAGGCAAAGGGAGCAAAAUUAUUAUUACUACCAGAAGGAUAGAUGUUCUUUGUGUUCCGGAAGUGGACUAUAAGUAUGAGCUUACGGGCAUGAAUCCCGAUCAAUCUCUUCAACUUUUCAGCAAACAUGCCUUCAGAAGAUGUUCCCCUUUAGACGAGUAUAUCGACCAAUCCAACAGGGCGAUAGAUAUUGCUGGGGGUCUUCCGCUUGCUCUUGAGGUCAUAGGUUCACUUUUAUGUCGCACUAAAAAGGAAAUGUGGGAUGCCACAUUGAAGAUGCUAGAAAGUGUUCCUCAUGAUAAAAUUCAAAGUAAGCUAAAAGUAAGCUAUGAUGCAUUAAAUUUUCGGCAACAACAUAUGUUCCUCGAUAUAGCUUGUCUUUUCGUUGGAUAUGACAAAGACAAUCUGGUUCAUUUUUGGAGUGAAUCUGAUUUUUUCCCAGAAGUAGCCAUGGAAGUUUUGCGGAACAUGUCUUUGAUAAAGAUUAGUGAGGAUAAUGAAGUAUGGAUGCACGAUCAACUCGUAGACCUCGGAAGAGAAAUGGUUCGUCAAAAAGGUGGCACCAAAGUAGAGAAGCAAAGUAGGGUGUGGGAUCCUAAGGUAGGAUCGGAUUUGCUGAGGAAACAUAAGGGAAAAAAAGAAGCGGAAGCUCUUCGUCUAGACUUGGACUGUCAGAAGCAGUAUCAUUUUACCUAUGAGGACUUUGAAUGCAUACCAGAUCUAAGGUUCCUUCAAGUGCGCGGUUCGAGGGAAAAUUUUCAUGCAGAAAAGGGCUUCUUUGGCGCGAAUCGACAUCAAAUGUUCUUCCAACUAGUGAGCAUUCAAAUCUCCUCCCAAAAUUACGAUGGAUUUCAUGGCCUGGUAUCCCCCUGAUACUUAACAUUACAAAUUUCUCCAUGGAAGAUGUGGUUAUUCUUAAUCUAUCUAAGAGUGAAAUUACGGAUGAUUGGAAGGGGUGGAGCCACAUGAAGGUAAUGAGGAAUUUGAAAGUUCUAAAUCUGUCCCACUGUCGGAAUCUUCAAAGGCUGCCAGACGAGUUGGGUAGAAAUCUUGCAAGCCUUGAAUGCUUAAAUCUAGGAGGGUGCAGAUUGCUGAAGAGGCUUCCGAAUUCAAUCGGAGAUUUGCGGUCGCCGAUUGAGUUGGAUAUAUCCG
Molecule: RNA transcript, 2389 nt
Organism: Rhodamnia argentea
Lineage: Eukaryota; Viridiplantae; Streptophyta; Magnoliopsida; Myrtales; Myrtaceae
Gene name: disease resistance protein RUN1-like
Exons: 4
Source: RefSeq, a predicted model, not a curated record